This 74-nucleotide transfer RNA is filed under the name Dreissena polymorpha. Its description in RNAcentral is "tRNA-Ser". The record is from RNAcentral. Lineage: Eukaryota; Metazoa; Mollusca; Bivalvia; Myida; Dreissenidae.
UCCCGGCUAGCUCAAUCCGUAGAGCACGAUUACUGUUAGACACAGGAUCGUGGGUUCGAUUACCACGUAGGGAG